This is a non-coding RNA of Ostertagia ostertagi, 105 nucleotides long. Lineage: Eukaryota; Metazoa; Nematoda; Chromadorea; Rhabditida; Trichostrongylidae. The record is from the annotation of a GenBank genome assembly.
AAAAUUUUGGAAAACGCUUCACGAAUUUGCGUGUCAUCCUUGCGCAGGGGCCAUGCUAAUCUACAUAUUUUGGAUGUAUAUUUUUCAUAUGCGUUUUGUAUACAC